AUGGCCCCUUGGCCCUGCUGCUGGAGGCUGCUGGCAGGGUGGCAAGUGCCAGAGCCCCCCCAGGCUGUUCCUGGCUCCUGCCUUGGCAGGGGGGGCCCAGCCCUGCUGCGCUGGGAGCUUGGGCCACAAGAGCCGCUGCUGGGGGAGAAAAGUGACCUUGUGCUCACGGGGGGCAUGGUGGGGGGCAAGGCCCCAGGGGUGCUUUGCCUGCCAGGAAGCAGCCCUGCGACGUUAUUGCUUCCCAGAGGAGGGGCCCAAGCGCCCAGACCCUGCUGGCACUGGGGCAGGAGCAGCUGCGCCUCUGGCCCCUCUAGCCAGACAAGGCCCCUGCCUUGGAAGGGGGUCCCCGGUGCCCCCCACCCCUUUGUGCACGGUGCUGCAGCUCACAUCAGUUGUUGGGGGGCUGAGAGGAGAGGGCUCUGCUCUGGGACAGUCCCACUGGGUGCUUGGGCCAGGCAGGGGCUGGGCUGGACAUGCUUCUUGGGGGGGUUGUGCUCUGGUACCAGGGACUGGGGGUGGUGGGCAGGGCUGCACCGGGGAAGGCAGUGCUGGGCUGGGGUCCAGCAUCCUACCACGGGGGGAGCAGCUCUGCCCACUGCCCAGCCAGAGCAGGGCCACUGGGCCACCAGCCACCAAGAGCCCCUCUUCUGCCCCCAGCCUCUGGGCCCAGCCCCAGCCCCUGUCCUGGCUGUGAGCAAGGCCCCAGGUGCCUGCCCUGUGCUGGGACCCCUGAGGGGCUUUGGCUGGAGCCCUGGACUCUGGAGGAACGUGAGCGCAGAGCCCUGCCCCGGCCUCGGGAGAAGGAACUGUGGCAACCCCGGGUCCCUCUUUGCCACCAGCAGGCUCAGGCCACUCUGCAGCGGCUGCAUCCCUGUGGGGGGCACGGUGGAGGGCACCCAGGGGUGCCGCAGCUCCCCACCCAGCAUGGGUGCUGCAGCCAUGGCCUGGGCAGGCAGGAGGGCAGGGCUGGGAGAAGUGGCAGGGGCAGGCAGAUGCCCAGAGGUGGCAAAGAGAUGGAAGGGGCCAUCGGGCAUCACCCUGCUCAGGAGCCAGAGGGAUCGAGGAGGAGGAGGAAGGCUGCUGCUCCUUGCUUGUCAGAGGAUGGACAUAAGGGCUGCUCUCAGGACCGUGACAGGAGGCUGCGGGCAUCAGAGCCACCCCAAACCCUGA
This 1170-nucleotide long non-coding RNA is filed under the name Athene cunicularia (burrowing owl). RNAcentral describes it as "lncRNA (ENSACUG00000010040.1)". The record is from RNAcentral. Lineage: Eukaryota; Metazoa; Chordata; Aves; Strigiformes; Strigidae.